AUUGAACGCUGGCGGCAUGCCUUACACAUGCAAGUCGAACGGCAGCGGGCCUUCGGGUGCCGGCGAGUGGCGAACGGGUGAGUAAUGCGUCGGAACGUGCCAUUGAGUGGGGGAUAACGUAGCGAAAGUUACGCUAAUACCGCAUAUUCUGUGAGCAGGAAAGCAGGGGACCGCAAAGGCCUUGCGCUCUUUGAGCGGCCGAUGUCAGAUUAGCUAGUUGGUGAGGUAAAGGCUUACCAAGGCGACGAUCUGUAGCGGGUCUGAGAGGAUGAUCCGCCACACUGGAACUGAGACACGGUCCAGACUCCUACGGGAGGCAGCAGUGGGGAAUUUUGGGACAAUGGGCGCAAGCCUGAUCCAGCCAUGCCGCGUGAGUGAAGAAGGCCUUCGGGUUGUAAAGG
This 401-nucleotide ribosomal RNA is filed under the name uncultured bacterium. RNAcentral describes it as "bacterial SSU rRNA". It matches the Rfam family "Bacterial small subunit ribosomal RNA", at positions 30 to 431 of the family's 1533-position model. The record is from RNAcentral.